AGUGAACGCUGGCGGUAGGCCUAACACAUGCAAGUCGAACGGCAGCACAGUAAGAGCUUGCUCGUACAGGGGGCGAGUGGCGGGCGGGGGCGGGAUACAUCCGAAUCUGCUGUUUCGAGGGUGCUGACGUAGGGACACUUACGCUAAUACCGCAUACGACCUACGGGUGAGAGCAGGGGAUCUUCGGACCUUGCGCGAUUGAAGGAGCCGGUGUCGGGUUGGCUAGUUGGCGGGGUAAAGGCCCACCGAGGCGACGAUCCGUAGCUGGUCUGAGAGGAUGAUGAGUGACAGUGGAACUGAGAAACGGUCCAGAAGCCUACGGGAGGCAGCAGUGGGGAAGAUUGGACAAUGGGCGAAAGCCUGAUCCAGCCAUGCCGCGUGUGUGAAGAAGGUCUUCGGAUUGUAAAGCACUUUAAGUUGGGAGGAAGGGCAGUAAGUUAAUACCUUGCUGUUUGGACGUUACCAACAGAAUAAGCACCGGCUAACUUCGU
Molecule: ribosomal RNA, 491 nt
Filed under: uncultured bacterium
Lineage: Bacteria
Description: partial 16S ribosomal RNA
Rfam family: Bacterial small subunit ribosomal RNA
Source: RNAcentral